GUGUGGGGGGAGGUGAUAGGUCUCUCACCGUAGGGCUCUUCAGACAUGGUGGUGUGGGGGGGGAGGUGAUAGGUCUCUCACCGUAGGGCUCUUCAGACAUGGUGGUGUGGGGGGGGGUGAUAGGUCUCUCACCGUAGGGCUCUUCAGACAUGGUGGUGUGGGGGGGGGGAUAGGUCUCUCACCGUAGGGCUCUUCAGACAUGGUGGUGGUGGGGGGGGGGGUGAUAGGUCUCUCACCGUAGGGCUCUUCAGACAUGGUGGUGGUGUGGGGGGAGGUGAUAGGUCUCUCACCGUAGGGCUCUUCAGACAUGGUGGUGUGGGGGGGGGGAGGGGGUGAUAGGUCUCUCACCGUAGGGCUCUUCAGACAUGGUGGUGUGGGGGGGGGAGGUGAUAGGUCUCUCACCGUAGGGCUCUUCAGACAUGGUGGUGUGGGGGGGGUGAUAGGUCUCUCACCGUAGGGCUCUUCAGACAUGGUGGUGGUGGGGGGGGGGAGGUGAUAGGUCUCUCACCGUAGGGCUCUUCAGACAUGGUGGUGGUG
This is a long non-coding RNA of Oncorhynchus tshawytscha (Chinook salmon), 537 nucleotides long. The record is from Ensembl. Lineage: Eukaryota; Metazoa; Chordata; Actinopteri; Salmoniformes; Salmonidae.